UCAAAAAAAAAGGAGGAAGUUUUCCUGUUACAGGCUCCAUAGGCCUCUGGAGCUCCUUUGAUCAUGGCCUCUUCACCUGACUACAAAAACUGUAAGGAGGGUGCUGCUUUUUAUCUUUGUCUCAGGCACCUGACACACAUGUAUUGAUCCAUUGAACAAAUAUUUAUUGAAGACUGAGUCUGUUGUUCUAGAGCUGGGACAUCAUUUUCCCCCUCUCUUCUACUGCCAGGAUCCUGCCUCUCUGGCCUUGGGACACUCCAAGACAGUGGGAGAGGACAGUCUGUCUAGUAAUCCCACUCAGGGAUCUCGCCUGGGCCUGGGAGAGAUGGUGGAGAGUCUGAGGACUUAGAAGGUGGGAAGGAGACCUCAUGGUGAGCCUGGCAGAAGCUCUGCUAAACGAUGUGGCCUCAUGCUCCUUUUUUCCUGCUGGGUCCUGACUUCAGCUCUUCCUCCUUCCACCAGCCAGUCUGGAGCUUAGCCGUGUUGUGUCACCUCGUUCUCCUGGGCUCCCUUCCUGCUCCUGCCUGUGAUUCCAGCCUGUGGUUAUAUCCUGCUACCUUCCCCUGCCUGGCUUAGGUCCCCAAGAGGCAUUUCGACCUAGAUCCCAGGGAUGACUCCUGGAUUCCGCUCAGCCCAUCUUAGGGUCUUCCCUCUAUUGAGAAAUCCUUGUCGGGCUCUAAAACACAUCUCUCUUGCUUAAGUUACUUCCUUUGGCUUGAAAACAGCGAGGGGAGUGCUGGGAGCAGUCUGGGUGGAGAGGCAAUUUCAAGGAGACAGCAGGGGAGGAGAGGACAGGGCUGGAUCUGGGCCGGGAGACACAGGGCUGGCCCUGGCCAGGAGAGAGGAGGAGCAAGAGCGAGCUGUUAAAUGAUUAGGAAACUCAGAACAGGAAUGGGAAGCAAAAGUGCCAGGAUGCAGGCGGCCCAAGGCCAAAGAGUGGGGUGGCUACAGCCACCCCUUCCCAAACGGCCUGGCAUCCCGUUGGUCAGAAAGGCCAAGGAAGGGCAUGGUUAGCUUUCACAUGUGAAGUCUGGAAGUACUUUGUAGGCACGGGUGGUAGGCUGAGAGGGUCCAGGGGUGCCCAGCACAGUGGGGAGAUAGCACCCCUUCCAGCAGCAGCAGCCAGUUCAUUAGACUCAGAGGGGCUGCUGUCUGCCCCUUCUUUGCCUCCCCUCUAGACAAAUCACUACCCCAUUUCCUGUUGUGAUUUCGAAAACACACACACUAAAAAAAUAAAUAAAUAAAAGAAAGGGAGAGGAAGGGAAAAGUGAAGUUGGCCAGCUGGACCUGGGACCCAUUUCGCAACCUUGCUGCCUGCAGCCCAGGGGGCCUUUGCUGAGCUCCCCAGCCACCUCCUUCUUCCCCAUGCAGCAUGGUGCAGGGAGGGGAACCCUGAGACCUCUGAGGGCCCCUUCAGACCAUCCUUUCACACACAGUCCAAACUCCUGAGUGACUUCAGCAAACCUGAUUCCCUUCAAGGCCUCUAUUUACAACCUCAGAACCUCCCCUCACCAUACACACCCAUGUUCCCAGGACCCCAAUCUUGCAGUCUGCCUCAUUCUUUCUACAGUGGUGGCAUCCUCCAAGGUGAAGGGAAUACAGAUCAGAGGAGCUCAGCUUAGGAAAUGCAGGGCUGGGCUGAGGUCGGUAGACUGCAUCACCAGCCCUGCCCAGGGGCAGCCUGGCAGGAGGCUGGACAAAGCUGGGUUACAGGCUCCAUAGGCCUCUGGAGCUGAGAGACUGGUCAGAGGUGGGGGUGAGAGUGCGCAGGCCUGGUUCCUGACUCAGGGACUAUCAGGCCUGUUGAUCCCUCUGGGCCUCAAUUUUCAGAACUUUAAUCUUUUGUGUAUCACUUUCAAAAUGUCUGCCGUGCUUAUGUACAGCUUGUGCUACUGUUUAUUACCAGUUAUUUCAAUUAACUUACUUUUCUUAUUUCACUGCAUCCUAAACAAUUGCUGAAGUAACAGAUUUGAUGUGCUAGUUACAGGAGUUAUCCUAAUGCAUAUCAAAUAAAAACAUAACUAUAACAGUUAAAAAAAAAAAAAAAAAGCUUGUCCAGGUACCAUCUAAAAUCAAAUCAAUGCAUAGCCCGUUUGAGAAAGCAGUAGUGAAAGCCAGGGCUGCUCUUGGUGCUGGCCAAGGGUCUUGCCUUCUCUUCCAGCGCUCCCCAUCGAGUUCUCUGGUCUUGGAAUUCGAGCCUCAUAGACCUCCCCAAACCACUGGGCCAGCGGCAGAGGGGAGGGGGAGGUAAUCUCAGGUGGGAGGAAAAGAGAUGACCCACCCAAUCCAGGGGGACGACACUGGGCCUGAGGCAGGAGAGUCAGCAGCCCUGGGGCGUUGAAGAGGAAUGUGCACACACUGCAGGGCCUCAGGCGGGGUGGGGGGGGGGGCCUUGGGGGCUCUCAGGACUCCACAACAGGUCUGACUCACAUGGCCCAGGACACAUGUGAACCAGGCUCAUUUCCUGGCCUCCUUCCUUCUUUCUAUUCUAUUUCUGCUUCCAGAGUUUUCUCUGGGGCAUGCUCCCCCUUCUGCCUGCACCAGCGGGCUGGCCUCGCUGGCUCGAACACUCCUCAAUUGUCAGACUCCUCCCUCUGUGUGCACCCCUGCUGCAUGAGGCUCAGCCCCAGGGGUCUAACAGAGGUCACAGUCACAGCACAGAAUGGAAGGCUUGCAGGGAGGGCAGCCCUAGAGGGCAGAGUGAAAGCAGGAGAAAGCUGCAGCCUUUCUUCUUCAUCCUCCUUGGGGAGCUAAUUACAGGCCAGCAGCUGCUGUGCAGGAGCGGUUAUCCGGCUGCAGCAGGUAUCCUUCAACACAGCCACAUAUGAAGGAGCCGUCUGUGUUGGUGCAUAGCUGGCUGCAGGUGCCAUACACUGAGCACUCAUCAAAAUCUGUCGGGGAAAGGGCAAGAAUGUGGUCAUUUCCAGUGUGACAGGGGCAACGAAGUGGGUGAUCAUCAGACAUGAUCAACGUGUCCAUCCUUACAGCUACCUUGAAGGAAAGUUCGGCAGAAUCUAUUACAGCAUGAAAUGUGCAAACCUUAUCACCCAGCAAGUCCAGUCUUGGAAAACACUCAUGUACAUAUCACUCAUUCACGCAGGGAAGAUUUAUUGAGUCCCUACUAUGGGUCAGGUGCCAGGGGUACAUCAGUGAACUUUAAAAUAGACCCACAUUGCUGUCCUCAUGAAACUUAUAUUCAGAUAAUAAAUGAAAUAUAGUUACUAUAAUAA
Nomascus leucogenys (northern white-cheeked gibbon) is the source of this 3230-nucleotide long non-coding RNA. RefSeq lists it as uncharacterized. NCBI's taxonomy places the organism in Eukaryota, Metazoa, Chordata, Mammalia, Primates, Hylobatidae. The record is from RefSeq and is a predicted model, not a curated record. The transcript has 2 exons.